Oncorhynchus tshawytscha (Chinook salmon) is the source of this 2950-nucleotide long non-coding RNA. The record is from Ensembl. NCBI's taxonomy places the organism in Eukaryota, Metazoa, Chordata, Actinopteri, Salmoniformes, Salmonidae.
AGAUCUAAACCCCAUCGUGACAAUAAUGGCACCAUGCUUCCAAUGAAUGUCAAAACAGAGAUGGUUUCUAUAAACUCCAUUUGUUCUCGCGACAAACAGUCGUUUCUUCAUUUUUAAUUCAGACAAUUUACACUCCCUCUGCAAUCUACAUAAUUACAGUGCAACCAAGACAACUUCACCAACUAAGGUCUGUGUGCCGGUUUCCUGUAUGUUAUCCGGACAGAUUUUCUUUAUUGCAAGUAAAACUCUGAUUGAACUGGAUGUAUUUUCAACCGUAAAAGUAAUUUUGUGGUGCCAGAUGGUGGCAUAUUAUAAAUAGCUGCUUACUUGUUACUGGUUUGUUUAUAAGCUCCAACAACAGAGGCUCUAUGGUAACAAAAUAGGUUUCCCCAUGUGUUAAUUUGUUCUUCACUAUGGCAGAGACCUUUCCCUCCAGUGGCUAUGACGGGGAUUUCCAAUACUUGCUUGGAUAGGACCAUUUAAUAGGCAGCUAUGCCAAGUGAUUUCUGGUGAGUGUUGUUAAUAGGGGGGGGGGGACAUCCGCAACAAAAAAAAACAUAACCAACGAGUGUUAGUUCUGGAUUUGCACUCAAUUUAGCCUCUGUGUUUCUAUCCCUGUAUUUCUCAACAUACAUUUGUCACGAUUUAUAUUCAAUUAAGCUUUAGGGCUCCAGUAAUGUUGACGGAUUUCAUGAGUUCAACGUUUCCAUUCGAGUGUCGACCCCAAUACAUUGCUUCAGUUGACAAUUGGGCAAAUACUUUAGUCGAUACGUGGAGCCACACGUAAACAGCGGUUAUGAAAUCUGUUGGAACGCUAAGUCAAUGCCAAAAUACAUUGUGAUCGACUGAUUUAAUCAACAAGAACUAGAACAGAGAGACCUUUUCAACCCCAAUCUUCUAGUCAGUGUUUACUGAGGGUGUAAGAGUAAAGGGUAUAGAUUGAACUCCUACUUUUUCAAAGAAGUUCACUUGAAACCAUGGCCUCGUAUGGGAACCUACUUUGUGGAGUGUCAAAUAGUUCCUGCUCUGUGGUGAAUAUGGUCGGUCAGAGGUUUUGCACUCCCUGUCAGACAGCAACGCCUGGGCGACCCAACCCAACCCAUCACAGUUCUGGGGUGACAACCCCACUGCAGCCUGAGUAUAGAACAGAUCAACGUGUUAGCAAACAUUGGCCUCCCUGGCCCAGUCCACAUGAUCAGUGAGGCUCUAUUUUUAAUCCAUCCUAUUCUAUGUGAUUACAAUCCUGUCUAUUUUGUCUCAUUGAAGUUGUUGAAUAUUUACCAGUAAGUCUCUAUUGUCAGUGUUAAUCAUUCACUUCAGUUUCCCUCCGAAUUGAGUUAUCCAAUAUUAUCAUGUGCUGGAAAUACUGUCCUACUACUAGGAUCCAUUGGCCAAGCGAUCACAGAGGAAAGAGGAGAUGGAAUAAAACAAGGCAUUUUAGAGGAACUCUCCAUAGUUUGCAAGUGUAUUUAAUGGAUUGUGGUUCGGGGAGUUUCAAAAGCCCAUGGACAUAACAGGAUAUCUUUGUUGAAAUCAACAAAAAAAACUCUUCAAGACAACCCUAGGCAACCAUUACCACGUUCAUCACUUGAACCAGAAGCAAUAAGUCAUCUUUAUGGGAAGAGUGUCUGAAAAGCUCCCAGCAUCAUAGAACCAUGCUACAACCACAGUGUAACAGGGUUAUGGUAGAGCCCUGUAGCCCAGGAAUACCUGGCUAUCUAUGAUCUACUACUGCAUGGGAGAAAGUGGCUUUGGAAAUGUCUGGUUGCCAAAGUUCACGCACUAACAUAAAAUGAUCUGAAACUGUGUAUAUUAAACAUGUUUUAAUCUAGCAUUCCAGUAUGAAGUUAGAGGCCCAGGACAAUAGCCAGCAUUUACAUAGAAAUUGGUUAUUGCACAUAGCUCUGAGCAUGUUCUCCAUGAUAUCAAAGGUUGCAAACGAUUAUGUAAGUACAAUAUGUACAGUUUGUCCUUGUUGUAUAUAUCAUAAACAACUCCACCAUUAAAGGGGAAAUCUGCGAAUUCUAAACCAAUUUUUGACAUGUAAAUUAAUGAUAGUGUAAAUACCCAUUGAUUAUUGAAUAAUGUACAUUCUAACUACCUCUUGAGCUUAGUUCAACUGUCGUACCCCAUCAGAACCCAAAAUAUAAGCUUGUUUUACUAUGUUGGUUGUAAACAAUGUCAUUGGAAACGAUCGUUGUAUAGCCUCAAAACAUGAGUACAACUAUAAUUUUGAUAUGAUGGAUGCUAGGUCCUUGCAGCCAUAGCUCUGUGCCUCUGCCUAUGAAUUUCAGAGUGGAUACAUUUCUCUAGCUCCGUCCCUCGCAUGUUUACCAAAACAGUGGCGGGGUCGACGCUUUGUUAUUGUUUGAAUCGUAGAUUGCCCCUUUAAAGGUCUCUCUCUCUCUCUCUCUCUCUCUCUCUCUCUCUCUCUCUCUCUCUCUCUCUCUUCUGUGUUACAUUUCCUGAAAGCGCUUUGCACCAAUAGCGAACAGCCCCACUGUACCUGCUGCGUGAGUUGCGGCGAACCAGCGCUCUGGAUUGGUUCGAGUAGCAGAAAACGCAGUCAUUACUUUCGCCCAACUAGAGGAGUGUACAGUAUGUUAAUGCAUUAGGAAUGACAGCUUUAAAAAAAAAAAAGGACGGACGGACCGACGGACGGACGGAGUCAAAUUUAUUCGGAUCACGCAAGCCAUUUGUAGCUUCUGUGCAGUUUGAAAGGUUUCCCUAAACUUUUAUAUCAAAAAACAAUUUGGGAUUUUGUCGGUCUGGUCAACCAAGAGGAAUAGUUUCUGUUCAUAUUUGGAGCGUCGACGUAUGAGACGUUCUGUACAUCGGCGGACUCCUUGUGGAUAUUUACAUUAUACAGAGCUGCAUCUAGUCGUGGGUCUUCGAAAACGACCUGCAAAAAUAAGAGGGACACGUAUAGGAUAGUCUUAUUCUAUAGACU